GGCGAAAGGGUGCGUAACACGUAGCUAUCUACCUUGAAAUGGGGGAUAACGCCGAGAAAUCGGUGCUAAUACCGCAUGUGACCGUAAGGUUAAAGCUGGGGCUCGUAAGACCUAGCGUUUCAAGAUGAGGCUGCGGCCUAUCAGGUAGUUGGCGGGGUAAUGGCCCACCAAGCCUAAGACGGGUAGCUGGUCUGAGGGGACGACCAGCCACACUGGAACUGAGACACGGUCCAGACGCCUACGGGUGGCAGCAGUCGAGGAUUUUUCUCAAUGGGGGAAACCCUGAAGGAGCGACGCCGCGUGGGGGAUGAAGGUCUUCGGAUUGUAAACCCCUGUCAUCCGGGAUCAAUGCGUAUCACCUAACACGUGAUACGUUGCUAGUACCGGAAGAGGAAGCAGUGGCUAACUCUGUGCCAGCAGCCGCGGUAAUACAGAGACUGCAAGCGUUGUUCGGAUUCAUUGGGCGUAAAGGGUGCGCAGGCGGUCCGGUAAGUCGGAUGUGAAAUCUCGAGGCUUAACCUCUAUAGGUCAUUCGAAACUGCCGGACUCGAGGACUGGAGAGGAGACU
RNAcentral lists this ribosomal RNA (568 nucleotides) under uncultured bacterium. RNAcentral describes it as "bacterial SSU rRNA". It matches the Rfam family "Bacterial small subunit ribosomal RNA", at positions 97 to 662 of the family's 1533-position model. The record is from RNAcentral.